This 668-nucleotide ribosomal RNA is filed under the name uncultured bacterium. Its description in RNAcentral is "bacterial SSU rRNA". It matches the Rfam family "Bacterial small subunit ribosomal RNA", at positions 8 to 655 of the family's 1533-position model. The record is from RNAcentral.
AGAGUUUGAUCAUGGCUCAGAAUCAACGCUGGCGGCGUGCCUAACACAUGCAAGUCGUGCGCGAAAGGGGCUUCGGUCCUGAGUAGAGCGGCAAACGGGUGAGUAACGCGUGGGUGACCUACCCUCGAGUGGGGGAUAACAGCCCGAAAGGAUUGCUAAUACCGCAUGACAUCCUGUCCUUGGACGGAUGGAGAUCAAAGCCGGGGAUCGUAAGACCUGGCGCUUGAGGAGGGGCCCGCGUUCGAUUAGCUAGUUGGUGGGGUAACGGCUCACCAAGGCGACGAUCGAUAGCCGGCCUGAGAGGGCGGACGGCCACACUGGGACUGAGACACGGCCCAGACUCCUACGGGAGGCAGCAGUGGGGAAUUGUUCGCAAUGGGCGCAAGCCUGACGACGCAACGCCGCGUGGAGGAUGAAGAUCUUCGGGUCGUAAACUCCUGUCGACCGGGACGAAAUUUCCGGGAGCUAACAUCUCCUGGAAUUGACGGUACCGGUGGAGGAAGCCCCGGCUAACUCCGUGCCAGCAGCCGCGGUAAUACGGGGGGGGCAAGCGUUGUUCGGAAUUACUGGGCGUAAAGGGCUCGUAGGCGGCCGCACAAGUCCGACGUGAAAUCCCUCGGCUCAACCGAGGAACUGCGUCGGAAACUAGGUGGCUUGAAUCCAAGAGA